AAAAGGAGGUCGAGCGGACAGUGAAACUUGGUUUGUUGUCCCCCCGUCAUGCGAAAACAAGCACGAUGGGACAGGAUUACGAUCUGAAGUUGGACCCUUGGAUGCAGAACGUUGUGUGGGUGUUGAUGUUAAAUCGUCGCACACCCAAAGCGUUGUACGCUAACGAUGGAUGACAUUCGAGUGCGAGGUGACCCUUUCUUGAUCGAAAGGGCUCAUGCGUGCCGAUGUCGACCGAGGAGUGCUACCUGGUUGAUCCUG
Molecule: unclassified non-coding RNA, 258 nt
Filed under: Tecticornia triandra
Lineage: Eukaryota; Viridiplantae; Streptophyta; Magnoliopsida; Caryophyllales; Amaranthaceae
Description: partial external transcribed spacer
Source: RNAcentral